UACGUAGGGUGCAAGCGUUGUCCGGAAUUAUUGGGCGUAAAGAGCUCGUAGGCGGCUUGUCACGUCGGGUGUGAAAGCCCGGGGCUUAACCCCGGGUCUGCAUUCGAUACGGGCAGGCUAGAGUGUGGUAGGGGAGAUCGGAAUUCCUGGUGUAGCGGUGAAAUGCGCAGAUAUCAGGAGGAACACCGGUGGCGAAGGCGGGUCUCUGGGCCGAUACUGACGCUGAGGAGCGAAAGCGUGGGGAGCGAACAGG
RNAcentral lists this ribosomal RNA (253 nucleotides) under uncultured bacterium. RNAcentral describes it as "partial 16S ribosomal RNA". It matches the Rfam family "Bacterial small subunit ribosomal RNA", at positions 524 to 776 of the family's 1533-position model. The record is from RNAcentral.